This 164-nucleotide ribosomal RNA is filed under the name uncultured bacterium. RNAcentral describes it as "partial 16S rRNA". It matches the Rfam family "Bacterial small subunit ribosomal RNA", at positions 355 to 511 of the family's 1533-position model. The record is from RNAcentral.
UAGGGAAUCUUCCACAAUGGGCGAAAGCCUGAUGGAGCAACGCCGCGUGUGUGAUGAAGGGUUUCGGCUCGUAAAACACUGUUGUAAGAGAAGAAUGACAUUGAGAGUAACUGUUCAAUGUGUGACGGAAUCUUACCAGAAAGGAACGGCUAAAUACGUGCCAG